UGAGGAAUAUUGGUCAAUGGGCGGGAGCCUGAACCAGCCAAGCCGCGUGAGGGAAUAAGGCGCCAAGCGUCGUAAACCUCUUUUGUCAGGGAACAAAAGCGGGCACGCGUGCCCGUCCGAGUGUACCUGAGAAAAGCAUCGGCUAACUCCGUGCC
RNAcentral lists this ribosomal RNA (155 nucleotides) under uncultured bacterium. Its description in RNAcentral is "partial 16S ribosomal RNA". It matches the Rfam family "Bacterial small subunit ribosomal RNA", at positions 355 to 509 of the family's 1533-position model. The record is from RNAcentral.